Molecule: ribosomal RNA, 460 nt
Filed under: uncultured bacterium
Lineage: Bacteria
Description: partial 16S ribosomal RNA
Rfam family: Bacterial small subunit ribosomal RNA
Source: RNAcentral
CCUACGGGCGGCAGCAGUGAGGAAUAUUGGUCAAUGGACGAGAGUCUGAACCAGCCAAGUAGCGUGAAGGAUGACUGCCCUAUGGGUUGUAAACUUCUUUUAUAUGGGAAUAAAACGUUCCACGUGUGGGAUUUUGUAUGUACCAUAUGAAUAAGGAUCGGCUAACUCCGUGCCAGCAGCCGUGGUAAUACGGAGUAUCCGAGCGUUAUCCGGAUUUAUUGGGUUUAAAGGGAGCGUAGGUGGAUUGUUAAGUCAGUUGUGAAAGUUUGCGGCUCAACCGUAAAAUUGCAGUUGAAACUGGCAGUCUUGAGUACAGUAGAGGUGGGCGGAAUUCGUGGUGUAGCGGUGAAAUGCUUAGAUAUCACGAAGAACUCCGAUUGCGAAGGCAGUUCACUGGACUGCAACUGACACUGAGGCUCGAAAGUGUGGGUAUCAAACAGGAUUAGAUACCCGGGUAGUC